This is a long non-coding RNA of Thamnophis elegans (Western terrestrial garter snake), 829 nucleotides long. RefSeq lists it as uncharacterized. NCBI's taxonomy places the organism in Eukaryota, Metazoa, Chordata, Lepidosauria, Squamata, Natricidae. The record is from RefSeq and is a predicted model, not a curated record. The transcript has 2 exons.
UCUGUGAAAAAUGCAAAAUAUUUAACUGAUUAAAAUUAGAGAUAUCCACAUUUUAAAAUCAAAAUAUUUCAUGUCCAAAAUAUAUUGUAUUAAUCACCGUAGAAAUGUUUAGAAGCCCUCGUUUCAAGCUUAGAGCAAUUAUUUUGAAUGUGGAAAUAACUCUUCUGAGUUUGAAACACUUUCAGAUUGGUCUGAACAACCCACUUUGAAUCUCAUACUGGGUGUUUCAACUCAAAAUGUUUUGCACAUUCCUACAUAAAAUAUAGUAAUCAUUUCAAUCUGCACUGUAGUCUACAGAAAACAGGACUUAGGACUUAAGCACACAUAAAUUAUUAUUAUUAAUUCUUAAAGACAUAUAAAUUGUUGUGUUACAAUAGGACUUAUUUGGUUGUUAUCAACUUGAUUCUAUGUAAGUGCCAGCAUGGUGUAAUGAUUAAUAGUGAACUCAGAGUGGAAAGACCCAAGUUUAGUCUUAUCUUAGACAUAGAAGCCAAAUCAAUGUCAGUUAUCUGAUAAACAAUCCGCCUUUUCACAUUGUACAUUGUAAGCUUUACUAGAAGAGCAUGUGAAAUACAAAAGAAAUGGACCAUGCAACUAAGCAAGAGAAAGACUGACUUGGAAGACUUCUACCAAUUAUGAGUGCCAGAGGAACUGCAGGAUGCUGCGGAAGAGAGCAAAGCAAUAUGGCCACUUCAGUUUAUUCUGAAAAGUGAAGGAGCCACGUUUCUUCAUGAAACAGAUUCCAGAGUGAGCUUUUUUUUUAAUCUUUCAUCGAAGCAAACUAUCCAUAUGCAGCCCUACUGUUUAAUAAAUUCAGAUGUCAAUGCCA